CAGAAGAAGUCAUCUCUUGGCUCGGGUUUAAAGGGUGCCAAUGAGGCACAAAGCCAGGAGAGGAGACUCAAGAAGAAUUAUAGGAGGGAAUCACUGGCUUCUUCUUCUUCAGAACUCUCGAUGGAUUCCCACUCUUACGGAAGCUUCACCACAUAUGAGAAGGUCGCCUGCAAGCACGUAAGUAUCUAAUUGACCUUUACCAGUAUGACAUCUAUAUGUAAACAUGAAAGAGUUAAUCUCACAUUUUCGGUGCUUGUCUUUGAUUGAAGCGAAAUGGAGAUGAGGAGGUGCUUAUCACUCCAAUAAGGCGUUCGAGCAGAUUGCUGAAGCAAGUCACUUCUCCAUGACUAGAGGAGAAAGCAUUUCUCCCCCUGACUCUCGGUUGCUCCUGAUUCCUACCAUUUUAGGAUUCAGUGGUUUGACAUAGUUUAGCUAGAUUUGUUUGACAGCAGUAUGAACAGCUAACACUUGUCGCUAGUAAUUUCGCUUUCGAACUGCUCUAAAACCCCCUCCACUUGUCCCUGUGGUCUGAUUUAUUUCCAGCAGAAUAUCUAGCUUUUAGAAUGCUUUCUACUUUUUCUGCCUUGUCUGGUUCGUUCAUGAUAGAAUUCUAGCUCGUUCGUGAUAUCUAGCUUUUAGAGCUAGUAAUUCGCUUUCGAACUGCUCUAAAGCCCCCUCCACUGGUCCCUGUGGUCUGAUUUAUCCAGCAGAAUAUCUAGCUUUUAGAAUGCUUUCUACUUUUUCUGCCUUGUCUGGUUCGUUCGUGAUAGAAUUCUAGCUCGUCUGUCUUGUCUGCCUGUGUUUGUGACAUGUUUGGGUCACACUCCAGCAGAAUACCUUUGUUAUGUAGACUUUUUCAAUUUUAAUCACACUCCAUUGACAAAGCUGCAGAUCAAUUAUGCUCUGAGAUCCUUUUUCCUUGAGCAGAUAGAUGAUCAAUCUUUCAGAUAUAAUAUGUUAGGAGGACCUAACUUGAAACCUAAUGUUCUGUAAAACCAUUAAUCUGAAAUCUAGUCAUGUCAAGAAGACUAAUAACGCAAUAAAUUCACAGCAGGAGCAGUAGAAUUCGAAGCGAAACAACAUCAAACUCUUUCAGAAAAAGAAAACCCAAGUCCCACGAAGAUUCUUGGAUUAAAAUCACUAAAUCGGUUAGGAUUUGAAUGCAAGAGGUAGAGGAGUGAAGAUCACAUGCUUUAGCUCUUCCAAAGAGAUAUCGCGCUCUUCGAUAGGCGCAUUUGCAAGAC
Molecule: long non-coding RNA, 1244 nt
Filed under: Eucalyptus grandis
Lineage: Eukaryota; Viridiplantae; Streptophyta; Magnoliopsida; Myrtales; Myrtaceae
Description: long non-coding RNA (EGRA_LNC000662)
Source: RNAcentral